RNAcentral lists this ribosomal RNA (175 nucleotides) under uncultured Lactobacillus sp. RNAcentral's name for it is "partial 16S ribosomal RNA". It matches the Rfam family "Bacterial small subunit ribosomal RNA", at positions 398 to 565 of the family's 1533-position model. The record is from RNAcentral. Lineage: Bacteria; Bacillati; Bacillota; Bacilli; Lactobacillales; Lactobacillaceae.
CGCGUGAGUGAAGAAGGGUUUCGGCUCGUAAAGCUCUGUUGUUGGAGAAGAACGUUCGAGGUAGUAACUGGUCUUUAUUUGACGGUAUUCAACCAGAAAGUCACGGCUAACUACGUGCCAGCAGCCGCGGUAAUACGUAGGUGGCAAGCGUUGUCCGGAUUUAUUGGGCGUAAAG